CCAGCAGCCGCGGUAAUUCCAGCUCCGCAAGUGUAUUCCUAUACUGUUGCGUUUAAAUAGCUCGUAGUUGGAUCUGCGUGUUUAGCGCGCGGUGUCACUACUUGUGACUACUGCAGUGCGACACAAAGCGCUAAGUACUUUCAGAAAGUAGUUAGCCAGUUUACUUUGAACAAAUCAGAGUGCUCAAAACGGGCGUUUCGCUCGAAUGUUCUUGCAUGGAAUAAUGGAAUAGGACCGCGCGUUCUAUUUUGUUGGUUUUCGGGACGCGGGUAAUGAUUAAGAGGGACAGACGGGGGCAUUUGUACUGCGACGUGAGAGGUGAAAUUCUUGGAUCGUCGCAAGAC
This 344-nucleotide ribosomal RNA is filed under the name uncultured eukaryote. RNAcentral's name for it is "SSU rRNA". It matches the Rfam family "Eukaryotic small subunit ribosomal RNA", at positions 567 to 936 of the family's 1831-position model. The record is from RNAcentral.